CGCUGAAUUUAAGCAUAUCAAUAAGCGGAGGAA
RNAcentral lists this ribosomal RNA (33 nucleotides) under Oxyopes lineatipes. Its description in RNAcentral is "partial 28S ribosomal RNA". The record is from RNAcentral. Lineage: Eukaryota; Metazoa; Arthropoda; Arachnida; Araneae; Oxyopidae.